Molecule: ribosomal RNA, 2987 nt
Filed under: Castanea mollissima (Chinese chestnut)
Lineage: Eukaryota; Viridiplantae; Streptophyta; Magnoliopsida; Fagales; Fagaceae
Description: bacterial LSU rRNA
Rfam family: Bacterial large subunit ribosomal RNA
Source: RNAcentral
UUAAAUGAGGAAAGGCUUACGCUAGAUACCUAGGUACCUAGAGACAAGGAAGGGUGUGUAAGCAACGAAAUGCUUCGGGGAGUUAAAAAUAAGCAUUGAUUCGGAGAUUCCUGAAUAGGUCAACCGUUCGAAAUACUGCUAAAUCCAUGGGUAGGCAAGAGACAACCUGGUGAAUUGAAACAUCUUAGUAGCCAGAAGAAAAUAAAGCAAAAGCGAUUCUUGUAGUAGCGGCGAGCGAAAUGGGAGCAGCCUAAACUGUAAAAAUAGGGUUGUGGGAGAGCAAUACAAGCAGCAUGCUACUAGGCGAAGCGGUGGAGUGCUACACCCUAGAUGGCAAAAGUCUAGUAGCUGAAAGCAUCACUAGCUUACGUUCUGACCCGAGUAGCAUAAGGCAUGUGGAAUCCCGUGUGAGUCAGCAAGGACCACCUUGUAAGGCUAAAUACUCUUGGGUGACCGACAGUGAAGUAGUACAAUGAGGGAAGGGUGAAAAGAACCCCCAUCGGGGAGUGAAAUAGAACAUAAAGUCGUAAGCUCCCAAGUAGUCGGAGGAGCCCGGGGCUCUGACCGCAUGCAUGUUGAAGAAUGAGCCAACGACUCAUAGGCAGUGGCUUGGUUAAGGGAACCUACCGAAGCCAUAGCAAAAGCGAGUCUUCAUAGGGCAAUUGUUAUCGCUUAUGGACCCGAACCUAGGUGAUCUAUCCAUGAUCAGGAUGAAGCUUGGGUGAAACUAAGUGGAGGUCUGAACCAACUGAUGUUGAAGAAUUAGGGGAUGAGUUAUGGUUUGGGGUGAAAUGCCACUCAAACCCAGAGCUAGCUGGUUCUCCCCGAAAUGCGUUGAGGCAUAGUAGUUGACUAGACAUCUAAGGGUAAAGCACUGUUUUAGUGUAGGCCACGAAAGCAGUACCAACUAGAGGCAAACUCUGAAUACUAGAUAUGACCUCAAAAUAACAGGGGUCAAGGUCGGCCAGUGAGACGAUGGGGGACAAGCUUCAUCAUUAAGAGGGAAACAGCCCGGAUCACUAGCUAUGGCCCCUAAAUGACUGCUCAAUGAUAAAGGAGGUAGGGGUGCAGAGACAUCCAGGAGGUUUUCCUAGAAGUAGCCACCCUUGAAAAAGUGCGUAAUAGCUCACUGAUUAAGCGCUCUUACGCCUAAGAUGAACGGGGCUAAGCGAUCUGCAGAAGCUGUGGGAUGUAAAAAGGUAUCGGUAGGAGAGCGUUCCACCUUAAAGGGAAGCACCCGCGAGAGCAAUGGUGGAUGAAGCGGAAGUGAGAAUGUUGGCUUGAGUAAUGCAAACAUUGGUGAAAAUCCAAUGCCCCAAAAACCUAAGGGCUUCUCCAUAAGGUUCAUCCAUGGAGGGUGAGUCAGGGCCUAAGAUUAGGAUGAAAGGCAUAGUUGAUGGACAAUAAGUGAAUAUUCCUGUACUGCCCCUUGUUGGUCUCGAGGGACGAAGGAGGCUAGGUUAGCCAAAAGAUGGUUAACGGUUCAAAGACGCAAGGUGCCCCUUCUUUUCAGGGUAAGAAGGGGUAGAAAAAAUGCCUCGAGCCAAUGUUCGAGUACCAGGCGCUACAACGCUGAAGUAACCCAUGCCAUACUCCCAAGAAAAGCUCGAAUGACCUUCAACAAAAGGAACCUGUACCCGAAACCGACACAAGUUGGUAGGUAGAGAAUACCUAGGGGCGCGAGACAACUCUCUCUAAGGAACUUAGUAAAAUAGCCCCAUAAUUUCUAAAGAAGGGGUGCCUCCUCACAAAGGGGGUCACAGUGACCAAGCUCAGGCGACUGUUUACCAAAAACACAAGUCUUCGCAAAGUUGUAAGACCUUGUAUGGGGGGCUGACGCCUGCCCAGUGCCGAAAGGUCAAGGAAGUUGGUGACCUGAUGACAAGGGAGCUGGCGACCGAAGCCCCGUUGAACGGCGGCUGUAACUAUAAUGGUCCUAAGGUAGCAAAAUUCCUUGUCGGGUAAGUUCUAACCUAAACAAAAGGCAUAACGAUCUAGGAUUGUCUCGGAAAGAGACUCGGUGAAAUAGACAUGUCUGUGAAGAUGCAGACUACCUACACCUGGAUAGAAAGACCCUAUGAAGCUUCACUAUUCCUUGGGAUUGGCUUUGGGUCUUUCCUGUGUAGCUUAGGUGGAGGGCGAAGAAAGCCCCCUUCUGGAGGGGGGCAAGCCGUUAGUGAGAUACCACUCUAGAAAAGCUAGAAUUCUAACCUUGUGUCAAUACCUACGGGCCAAGGGACAAUCUCUAGUAGAUAGUUUCUAUGGGGCAUAGGCCACCCAAAAGGCAACGAAGGUAUACAAAAGUUUCCUCAGACCAGACAGAGAUUGGCCUUCGAGAGCAAAAGCAAAAGGGAGCUUGACUGCAAGACCCACCCAUUAAGCAGGGACGAAAGUUGGCCUCAGUGAUUCGACGGUGCCAAGUGGAAAGGUCGUUGCUCAACGGAUAAAAGUUACUUUAGGGAUAACAGGCUGAUCUUCCCCAAGAGCUCACAUCGAUGAGAAGGUUUGGAACCUCGAUGUUAGCUCUUCACCACUUGGGGCUGUAGUAUGUUCCAAGGGUUAGGUUGUUCGCCCACUAAAGCGGUACAUGAGCUGGGUUCAGAACAUCGUGAGACAAUUCGAUCCAUAUUUGGUGUGGGCGUUAGAGUAUUGAGAGGACCUUUCCCUAGUACGAGAAGACCGGGAAGGACGCACCUCUGGUGUACUAAUUAUCAUGCCCACGGUAAACGCUGGAUAGCCAAGUAUAGAGCGGAUAACUUCUGAAAGCAUCUAAGUAGUAAGUCCACCCCAAUAUGAGUGCUGUCCUAUUCUGACUUCCUUAAAGCCUCCGAUAGCACAGUCGAGACAGCGAUGGGUUCUCUGCCCCUACAGGGAUGGAGUGACAGAAGUUUUGAGAAUUCAAGAGAAGGUCAUAGCAAUAGAUGUCAAGUGGAAAUGUAGUGAUGUAUGCAGCUGAGGCAUCCUAACAUACUGGUAAACUUGGGCCU